UUUCCACAAUUUUAUUUCAAAAUUUUAAAGAUGGUUAAAGUUGUCAUUUAUUUAGCUCUAUGCAAAUGUUUUCUAAACAAAAACUUGUCUUCUAAAGGAAGUUGUAAUUUAAAAGGCAAAGAACAUUUACUGACUUUAUUAAAACCCUUCACGCAAGUCCCCUUGUGUCCAGGACACCGGCGUCGUGAGAUUGCUCAACUCAGACAUUCAGUGCUCCUGCAACCAAAUUGAAUGUUAACAACAAACUAUGUUUUGGCUUUAUUAGUAGAUAAUAGGGAUGCAGUUUUUGUGCAGUUUUGUGCACCCAUUUAUAAUACAUUUAUAAUGAUUAACUGAUAAGUUUAAAAUCUACGAUAUACUGUAGCCUAUAAAAAUGACUCAAAAUUUGCCUACCAAUUAAUUAGUUGUAUAUAUCAGAGAGAUUUAAGACAUGUCCCAACAGUAAUUGGAACAAGUACGUUGCGCAUUAAAGCCAUAGCGGCAAAAAACCAAAUUAUACAAACAUGGAUUCACGGACUGAGAAAUCUGCGCAGGACAGAAAUACUGCUGACAUUUUUAUUACAGGAUGGCUGAACUGCCACUGAGAUGGAGCAAAAAGUAUUGCAUAUAAUGCAUACCUUUUAAUAAACAAAUAAGCGUUUUUUUGUCUACUUAUAAUAAAAAGGACACAUUGAUCUCUUCAAUAGUGCAAUUCAUAUUCUAUAGUGUAAGUGGUAGACUCUUCAUUUAGCAAAAUAGUGGCAAGUUCACAACAUUGUAAAGUAGGCCUCCUGAUGGGCAGUUACAAAAAAGGUAAGGCCUAAAAGAGAAUUAAGUGCAGUGAGACCCCCAACAAAAGACCGCUAACUACAUAACAUGACCAACAUCGCCUAUGCCAUUAUUGACCUUUACACCUAAGCAUUUUUGUUAAGGAAUAUCAGCAUGUCUGGGUGCUCUGGGAUAAUUCUGGUGCACUUCUGAAAGUGAGACUGGCAGCUGAGAAGAGGUGUGCGGACAGCAGACAAAUGACAUUCCACUAAUGCUCUCAGUCGAGGGAACUGUGACUCUAACUUUCCAACAGUCAAAUAGGUUUGUGUUUAACCUCUUAGCGCAAAGCCCCUAGUGGUUGGCACGCCGGCGUGCCGAGAUUACUGAACUCAAACAUUCAGUGCUACUGCAACCAAAGUAUGAGUUUAAUACAGAAACAUGUUGUUUUAGUUUCAUUAGUAGACGAUACACAACAACUAUGCCGAAUACAGAGUUUCGGAGCGUCACCAUUGUCGCUCUGGUCGUUCAUUUAACACACACCUCCUUCCUGCAGUCUCAUCUACAACUACACCCCCCACCCAUGCCGUAAUGGACAAUAUUGUCUAUCUUGGCAUUCAUAAAAAUAUUCUUUCACCACUAAAAAUUUGUAUUCCGUCAUAGUAACAAGAUUAACCCGACAGUAGCCCUAAGAUAUGCCUAUACAGCAGUGAAGACGCUGCUCACUGAAUAAUGAAAUAAACGAGAAAAGGUUUUUAUAAAUGUCAUUCUACAGUCAAUAUCUGGGACUAAAUAUUGAAUAAAUAUACUACUUUACGGUUGGUUUUACGCAUAGAAAUGUCGCUUUUGAGACUCAGUGGUCCUAUAUGUGUGGCGGUCUGGAGAAACCCGUCGGAUGUCGCUGGGAGUCAUUGUUGGAAAAAUGCCAAUAAACUCGUAAAAUGAGUUUUUUGGGUAAAAUGAGAUCACACGAUUUAGAUUCUGUGAAGUCUUUACUUUGUCUUGGUAAAUAAAGAUAUUGUGAAAACUUAACGGAAAAUGUUUAUUUUUAGGUAUUUGUAAACGUGGUUUGCUAGCAAAAAAGCAAUGUUGUUACUGUUAGCUUGGGACGGCGAUCUGUUUCUGUAGGUAGAGAUACGCCUGCCAAUUCAGUCUUGUCUUGUGCCCAAACAAAGUACUACAACAACGUUAAAAAACACUAAACCAAUAACAUAUUGUCUGCAAAUUUAGCUGACUAAAGAAAUCUGUCAUUUAAUAUUUAUGAAGACGUGUGGGGUUUCACACGUCUUCAGAAAUGAUGCGAGAUGAAUGCGAGUUAGCCGACAUGCCUAAAUUUGGCCGUUCUCCACUCGUGAUCAACAGGCUAAUAUUGCGAUUGCUAAUGGGUUGUGGAUCACUCAGUUAAAAUUAAACAUAGGUUAUGUAAACAUUUAACAUCAAUAUAGUUAGGUUAGUGUUUCGUUUUCACAGCCUACUUUUGUCUCUUGAUCAAUCAGAUUACACUAGCAUGUUGGUGGUUCAAGUUACGGGCGCUUUCGACUUCUUAUUCCCUUUCUAUAAACUUGCUGUCAACUAUUUUGAUUUGUGUAAAAGCAAAGACCCAUGUAAUUGUUGGAAUUGGCGUUAACUGGUUGGAAAGGUUAACUUUUCGAGUUGCAAGACUGCAGUUGGCAGUCUUAACAUAACACAACAGGCACGAAACACCAACAACAACUGCGUUCACGCGCAGAUCAGCUGAUAGCUGUCAAAACAUCCUCGCAUAGUUGACGGCUGCUGUCAGUGAGAGAUGGCGUCUUUACAGGAUAGCGAUGUAGCCCGUUGUUUGAAUGAAUUGUCUUCUAUUAACAUGAGUAAUGUUUCCAAUAGCUUUGAAGCAAGACAGUUAAUCAGUGAUUAUUUCACAAGUGGUCCUAAUCUCAGAGACAGUGACAGUGAGGUAUUUGGAUCGAGUGAUGAAUCAAGUGACAGGAAUUACGAUAGAGAUCCUGCUCCUCGAAAAACGGCUUGUCUUGUUUUCGCACCCAAAACUGGAGAGAUGGACAGUGAUGAAGACGAUGACCUGUCAGAGUCACAUCCAACUCUCGAAAAUCUGGCCGAUAAAAUCAUUCCUCCUGGCCAUGGUGAUGCUGGGCCUUCUGUAGUAGAUUGUCAUUGCUGCUGCAAGCUCAAUGAAGGAAAGCCUUGCCAUACCAGAUUCCCCAAAGAGGAGCUCCUUGAUGUCCGUCUGCAGUACCUCAACCUGUCUCGUGAAGAGCUUGACAUUGCCAUUCUCUCCAAGCUUUCUUGUGGAAUGCAUCUCUCUGACACAACAUCAAGGUCCAGGAAGAGAGAGCAGACACAGCGUUUAGCCCACCGUACUGAUUAUUACUGUCAUGGGCAUAGGAUCUGCCGUGAUGUUUUCAAAUAUCUCCAUGGGGUUGGGCAGGACAAAUUUAAUGCAUUAAUGAAGCAUUACAAGGCUGCUGGGGUGGAAGCAAGGGUCCACAAGCUGAAUAAGAGGCUUCCUGCAAAUGCAUUAAAAUUGCAGGACACGAGCCAUUGUGGAUUUCAUCCUCAACUAUGCAGAGGCGAAUGCGAUCAUUCUUCCAGGCCGCACACAAAGCAUUGGAAUGUAAAAAAAAAGAUGUAAAACUGCUGCCAACCAACUGCAGCAAGAGGAAGGUCUAUGAGCAGUACUGCGCAGCAGGUGGAGAAUGCUGGCAUGCGAAUGGUAACCCUGAGAACCUUUCGGCGAAUAUGGCAGCAGUUAGUACCCUUUGUGUCGACCAUGCGCCCUGCCACUGACCUGUGCUAGUACUGUUAGUCAGGUGUUGCUAAACUUAAACAUGCUGCCAAUCAUCCAGAGGCUGAGAAAAGUGCAGCCAUCCGUGAUAUUGAAGAGCACUUGGCUAAAGUCGCAAUGGAGAGAUCCCUCUACCAACAAAUCUGUAAAACAACAAAGGAGGAGAUGCCCUUUGGUGCAGAAAUAGGACCCCAUCCUGCCUGCAGCUUCCCUGGGAAGAUGCAUUACAGUUUUGAUUUUGCGCAGCAGGUCCAUUUCCCAUCAGACCCCUUGCAGCCUGGUCCAGUGUACUUCAAGUGCCCCCGGGAAUGUGGUCUCUUUGGGGUGGCAUGUGAGGCUGUCCCAAAGCAGGUACAUUUUUUACUUGAAGAGAGCUGCCAGUCAGGGAAAGGUGCCAACUGUGUAGUGUCACUCCUUCACUACUUCUUGGAGCACUAUGGCAUGGGUGAAGAAGAUGUCCAUUUACAUGCAGAUAACUGCAGUGGACAAAACAAAAACUCCACAAUGAUGUGGUACUUGAUGUGGAGGGUGCUAACAGGGCGUCACAAGAACAUCACCUUCUCCUUCCUGCUAACUGGACACACAAAAUUUAGUUGUGACUGGUGCUUUGCUCUUGUGAAACGCUUGUUCAGAAGGACAAGGGUAGACUGUCUAGAUGACAUUGUCAAGGUGGUCGAGGAAUCCUCCCAUGUCAACAUUGCUCAAGUCUGCGGCAAGGAAAAUGGAGAGGUCAUUGUGCCAACAUAUGACUGGACGAGCUUCCUCAGCACAUACUUCAGGAAAGUUGGAGGAAUAAAGAAAAACUUUCGUGAGGGGUCAGGCAUAAUUGAAAUAAAAUAGUUCUGUGACAGUGGUGCAACCCAGCAAGAUCUUCUGAGAGUGCCCCUGCCCAGCAAAAUGCCAGACCAGAUCCUACCAAAAGGACUCGAUGCGAAGCGGCAGUGGUACCUCUGUGAAGAAAUAAGGCUAUUUACUACUGAUACCUAUAAAGACACCACCUGUCCGUGUCCAACAGUCCCCAAGCCGAGGAGAAUUGCAGUGUUCAAUGGGGAGGAGUAGGUUUACCGUGCAGUGUGUGUGUAGGUCUACAGUGAAGGGCUGCAGCAAAUGACUCAAGGAAAAACGUGUUGGUUGAUGUUUUUUUCUUGUGCUUUUAAAUGUACAUUUUCAUCACCCUGUUAAAAUAUAUUUGUAAAAUACUAUUCAGAAGAUGAUUGACAUGUCAAAUUGUAAAAUUUAAUUCAAAGAAUACUUUUAUGAUAGUCACACAUAAUUAACCCUAAUACAAUGACAAUAAUUUGUAAAACACAAUUUUGUUUGUUGAUGCUUGUUACAUGUACUUCUCCUGUUAAAAUCUUUCUAUAUUUCA
Long non-coding RNA from Anguilla rostrata (American eel), 4895 nucleotides. RefSeq lists it as uncharacterized. The transcript has 2 exons. NCBI's taxonomy places the organism in Eukaryota, Metazoa, Chordata, Actinopteri, Anguilliformes, Anguillidae. The record is from RefSeq and is a predicted model, not a curated record.